Molecule: ribosomal RNA, 253 nt
Filed under: uncultured bacterium
Lineage: Bacteria
Description: partial 16S ribosomal RNA
Rfam family: Bacterial small subunit ribosomal RNA
Source: RNAcentral
UACAGAGACUGCAAGCGUUAUUCGGAUUUACUGGGCGUAAAGCGUGCGCAGGCGGUUCGCCAAGUCAGGUGUGAAAUCCCCGGGCUUAACCUGGGAAUUGCGCUUGAAACUAGCGGGCUUGAGUGUGGCAGAGGGGGGUGGAAUUCCACGUGUAGCAGUGAAAUGCGUAGAGAUGUGGAGGAACACCGAUGGCGAAGGCAGCCCCCUGGGCCAGCACUGACGCUCAUGCACGAAAGCGUGGGGAGCAAACAGG